RNAcentral lists this ribosomal RNA (590 nucleotides) under Dentex dentex (common dentex). Its description in RNAcentral is "partial large subunit ribosomal RNA". It matches the Rfam family "Bacterial large subunit ribosomal RNA", at positions 566 to 1358 of the family's 2925-position model. The record is from RNAcentral. Lineage: Eukaryota; Metazoa; Chordata; Actinopteri; Spariformes; Sparidae.
AAACAACCCAGUAAAGCCUAGAAAAGCAGAGAUUAAAGCUCGUACCUUUUGCAUCAUGAUUUAGCUAGUAAUCCCAAGCAAAGAGAACUUUAGUUUGGCCCCCCGAAACUAAGUGAGCUACUCCAGGACAGCCUAUUGUAGGGCGAACCCGUCUCUGUGGCAAAAGAGUGGGAAGAACUUUGAGUAGAGGUGACAAAUCUACCGAACUUAGUAAUAGCUGGUUGUCUGAGAAAUGGAUAGAAGUUCAGCCUCACGGCUUCUUAAUUCAAAUUUCGUAUUUAAACUUAAUUAGAUUUCUAAGAAACCGAGAGAGUUAAUCUUAGGGGGUACAGCCCCUCAGAUAAAGGACACAACCUUAACAGGCGGGUAAAGAUCAUAAUUAACCUAAGGUAAAGCAUCCCAGUGGGCUUAAAAGCAGCCACCCUAACAGAAAGCGUUAAAGCUCAGAUGCACCCAACCUUUCCGCCGAUCCCGAUAAUACAAUCUCAACCCCCUUUUAAUAUCAGACUAUCCGCUGCAAACAGCGGAGAAAUAAUGCUAAUAUGAGUAAUAAGAGAGAGCAAACUCUCUCCCUGCAUAAGUGUAUCUCG